This is a non-coding RNA of Benincasa hispida (wax gourd), 107 nucleotides long. NCBI's taxonomy places the organism in Eukaryota, Viridiplantae, Streptophyta, Magnoliopsida, Cucurbitales, Cucurbitaceae. The record is from RefSeq and is a predicted model, not a curated record.
AAUCCAUUGUGUGGACAGUCCCGAACCAACCUUUUAAACCUCGCCCAGGCCUCACUGAGAGAUUCGUCCAUGUUUUGUUCAAAAUUCGUGAUUAGUUUCCUUCGUCU